Long non-coding RNA from Anopheles moucheti, 1557 nucleotides. RefSeq lists it as uncharacterized. The record is from RefSeq and is a predicted model, not a curated record. The transcript is spliced from 5 exons. NCBI's taxonomy places the organism in Eukaryota, Metazoa, Arthropoda, Insecta, Diptera, Culicidae.
ACGAACACAUUCCUGUUGCGACCGUACUACAGUUCAGACGAGUGUUCCAUACAGUAUUUGGUGCUGUAAAACUCAGAGCUUUCACACGAGAACAAUGUAGCGGUUUGGUUCGAUCCAGAAUGGAAAAACGUGUCGUGAUACAAAAGUAUUCAGUUCUAUUCGCUCUCGAUCGCUGGUGUGCAUAAUCCAUUAGCUACGAUUGUGAUUCAAUUGCCGGAUGUACGUGUGUGGAAUGUAUUUCAAACGACUAUCGAAAAGCUGUACUGAUGUUUCGAAGGAUUUUGAAGGAAGGAAUUGUUAUCUGGAAACCAUAAACUGCCUUCAUAAUGACUACCCUGAUGCGAUCACGAUUGCUGUCCGUACUAAAGGACGUAACGGUAGUUACGCUGAAGAUGAAACCAGGGACCUGUUGGAGGAGAGCUCGUCAGACGUUUCUUAUACGAUCGUGUUCUUCGCACGCUGCUGCUCCCUAUGGUCCUGCAUAUCGACGAGAUGACCUAAAAGAAACCUUGCCUUAUAAACUUGUGCUUAGGGUAAGGACUGCGACUUACCAAACCGUUGUGUCCUUGGAAGAGAAAGGUGGAUAAAAGCGCCCUGCUGCUAUGCCCGUCGAAUAUGAGUCCGUCGCUAUUUGGAUGAACACUGGUUAACAUUGACAGUUCAUCAUAAUGCAACACGUGCAAGUAAUGGGAAGUUAUGAUGGAAAAACUUUCGAUGCAAGGAAAUGAUGAUAUUUUUCCAAGUAAUUACAAGCCAUAGCUAGCCAAGCAUUGUUUUGGAUGUGUGUUUGAAGUGCCUUUGGACUGGAAGCUGGAUUUGAGAAUAUUAUAUAUCGCAUCAUCUUUGAAGACUACGCAGUACUAAAAGACUACGAAGACUACGCAGUACUCGAGCAAAUCAUUCGUGAGUAAGUUAAUUCAAUCGUCCUCUCCUCCGUCUUAUCUACAAUAAUUCGAAUUUAACAUUAUUUGUUAAGUAAUGUUUCAUUGUAAAACAUUGUAAUGUAAGCAGUUUAUCAACAAAAGAUCGAAUUCUCAUUCGAAUUCGACUCAAACUUAAAAUAAUUUACGUGAUAGUAUGAAUGUAUUCCUAUCGUCUGAGUAUUUUCUAAUUACGAAACAGGAUAUCAGGAGCUGUCAGCAAAAAUGUAUAGUGAUUGUAUUGGUUUUGUAUUGUAUUAGCCUGUGACGAGCUUGUAAUAAGCAUGCGGAUUAGUGUUGGGUUGACGGACUUGUCUAUUCGUCAGCUAGUUUAAAAGCUAUUAAUAGCUCAAUAUUCGUAGCUGGUUCGGAAAAACUGGUCUUUGUUGAGUGAAUUGCGAAGGAAAAUUGUUUUGGUAACCCGGCUGUCUGUAUUGUACGGGUCGUUGUUGAAAAGAUAGAUUCCCAUGCAGGUUCAAAUCCCGUGGUUUCGGAAUAUUGUUAUUCGGCUUAUCAUUGAAUGGAGCGGAUCUCACAUCCAUGUUACAAAAUUCCAGACAAUAGAUAAAAGCACUACUUAACGAAUUUGGAUUGUAAUUCUUUAAUAAAAAGCUGAGUGGUUUGUCCAGGCCACGAA